ACGCUGGCGGCAGGCCUAACACAUGCAAGUCGAGCGGUAGGGAGAAGCUUGCUUCUCUUGAGAACGGCGGACGGGUGAGUAAUGCCUAGGAAUCUGCCUGGUAGUGGGGGAUAACGUUCGGAAACGGACGCUAAUACCGCAUACGUCCUACGGGAGAAAGCAGGGGACCUUCGGGCCUUGCGCUAUCAGAUGAGCCUAGGUCGGAUUAGCUAGUUGGUGGGGUAAUGGCUCACCAAGGCGACGAUCCGUAACUGGUCUGAGAGGAUGAUCAGUCACACUGGAACUGAGACACGGUCCAGACUCCUACGGGAGGCAGCAGUGGGGAAUAUUGGACAAUGGGCGAAAGCCUGAUCCAGCCAUGCCGCGUGUGUGAAGAAGGUCUUCGGAUUGUAAAGCACUUUAAGUUGGGAGGAAGGGCAGUAAAUUAAUACUUUGCUGUUUUGACGUUACCGACAGAAUAAGCACCGGCUAACUCUGUGCCAGCAGCCGCGGUAAUACAGAGGGUGCAAGCGUUAAUCGGAAUUACUGGGCGUAAAGCGCGCGUAGGUGGUUCGUUAAGUUGGAUGUGAAAUCCCCGGGCUCAACCUGGGAACUGCAUUCAAAACUGACGAGCUAGAGUAUGGUAGAGGGUGGUGGAAUUUCCUGUGUAGCGGUGAAAUGCGUAGAUAUAGGAAGGAACACCAGUGGCGAAGGCGACCACCUGGACUGAUACUGACACUGAGGUGCGAAAGCGUGGGGAGCAAAC
Molecule: ribosomal RNA, 745 nt
Filed under: uncultured bacterium
Lineage: Bacteria
Description: bacterial SSU rRNA
Rfam family: Bacterial small subunit ribosomal RNA
Source: RNAcentral